CUUCCCUUCCCUUCCCUUCCCUUCCCUUCCCUUCCCUUCCCUUUCGUUUUUUUUUUGAGAUCUUUUUCUACGAAAUGAGCAGGAGUAAUAUGAUACCAAAGAAUGCGUUUCUGUAUUGUUUUACUACAGUGUUUCUUAAAAACGAAACAAAUAGCUCUUAACUGAAAAAGGCUGCUCUGCAGUGGUGAUGGCCUCUGACAGAAGAGGAGCAACACCUGGAAAUACUCCAAUCGGUUGAAGUCACAUGGAUCAACACCCAAGAAGUGCUCACACUGUUAAUGUGCUUCAGCUGACAGAUGCGAACAUCUUGAAUAAGUCUGGUCUGACAAGAAUAGAGCCCACUGAAAUGACAGAGGUACAGUGUGUGGCAAUGGAGAGAAAAAAAAAUCACCCACCCUGGUUUUAAUGAAGCAAAACAUUCUUUUAAUGCCAACUGGCUAAUUAGUAACAGGGACAAUUUCUCCCGUGCAGCAUAAUUAUCAGAAACAAGGCCAGAGGGCAGCUCACAUAUCCCAUAAAUGUAAAUAUUCUCUCCAUAUCACAGCAGAGCUUGCCAGGUAGAGAGACAAGAAGAAUAAUCUCAAUUGUCAGCUCUUGUGUGGCUCUAUGCUGAAGUCCACAUUUUCCACGCUCUGGGGAAAUAUCUCCCAGG
Molecule: long non-coding RNA, 652 nt
Filed under: Anser brachyrhynchus (Pink-footed goose)
Lineage: Eukaryota; Metazoa; Chordata; Aves; Anseriformes; Anatidae
Description: lncRNA (ENSABRG00000001578.1)
Source: RNAcentral